CAGUCUUACCACAGUAUCCUGUACAUAUCCAAGCUGAGUUUGGAAGCUAAGUAGGGUCGAGUCUCUUUAGUGCUUGGAUGGGAGACCAUCGGGGAAUACGAAGGGUCUCUCUGG
RNAcentral lists this ribosomal RNA (114 nucleotides) under Pogona vitticeps (central bearded dragon). The record is from RNAcentral. Lineage: Eukaryota; Metazoa; Chordata; Lepidosauria; Squamata; Agamidae.